Molecule: long non-coding RNA, 559 nt
Organism: Passer domesticus (house sparrow)
Lineage: Eukaryota; Metazoa; Chordata; Aves; Passeriformes; Passeridae
Exons: 3
Source: RefSeq, a predicted model, not a curated record
UCGCGCCCGCGGGCCAGGAUGGCGGCGGGGGGCGAGGGAGGGACCUAAAGUUCCGAGUAUCUGCACCUUCCUGCGGGAGUGUAGCCGGGUGGGAUCCGCCUGUGCUCUCAGGCAGCUAAUUAGGGACAGGAUGAGAGGACACGGCCUUGAGCUCCGCCAGGGGAUGACUUACUUAUCCCAGUACGGAUGGGAGACUACUAGAAAGGCGUGAUAAUGGAGUGUUUGCUGAUGUCACUUUGAUAUGUCUGCCAGCACUCUGGAAAAGUCAGCCCUUCCCGACUUGUGUAAAGCAAAGCAAUGAGGGGGUGAAGUAGGAGCAAGAAGAAAGAAUUAAGGAGGCAUUUCCCAAAAUAAAAAAAAAUUCUUCAGGAGGAAGAGCUACAUCUUUCACCUUUAUGGGAGUGUUCAAUCUGAGUCCUUCUCACCUCUUUUAAAUAUGGUCAAUCUACAUUGAACAAAAGUUUUCUUACACUGUCUUCAGUGUUGGUGUUAGUAGCUACAGAAGCGUUUCAUGGAAGAGACAUACAGUCUCCAUUGCCAAUAUACUUCUGCACUCCAA